Molecule: long non-coding RNA, 901 nt
Organism: Humulus lupulus (European hop)
Lineage: Eukaryota; Viridiplantae; Streptophyta; Magnoliopsida; Rosales; Cannabaceae
Exons: 2
Source: RefSeq, a predicted model, not a curated record
AUGCUGAAAGAGAGAAACAGAGGGAUGGGCCUAUGGAAUGAGAAUAGAAUUGAGGCAGAGGGGCUUUGUACUUCACGUGGCCGUCGAUAACAGUGAGCAAGGCAGAGCGAAGGGAUCCAACCUUCGACCUAGAAUUAAAAAAAGUUCCUGUGAUUCUUGCUCAAAAGAGGUGCACAAAUCCGAAAAUCAUGAGAGAGACUAAAUCUACGAGGUGGCCUGAAAAAUGGCUUAAUGAAGACAACAGAAUCUUCGGCGAGUUGGUGAUGGCGGAAGGCGGCGAGUGAGGGGCAGGGGCUCCAAGGACCAACGUUUCGGACGCCUUUGAAACUCGUGUUGAGGCACGUGUUACCGGCCGAUGAGCGAAAGUGGCUAGACCAGAACUGGGCAACCGCACGCAAGGGGGAGAGAGAAAAGGGGAAAAUGGUCUACUACCUUCAAUACCACUCUUCUUCUACGAUGCCAAGUUUGGAUUCUAGAUCACUGCCAAGAUAAGAUGUUUGAUAAAGAACGACAUGAAGACCAUGCCGAUUGCCGAAUCUCUCCCAUUCUCUCAAUCUGUCUUUUCGGGUACCAAUACUCUUUAAUUUAUAAUAUAAGUCCUUUAAAUUAUUGUGUUUGGUGAUUUUCUCAUUGGGUUGUCAGUUAUUUCUUAUUUCUUUCUUGAAAAUAUUUUAAUUUGUUGUUUAUUUGUGUUAUUAGUCGUUGUUUUCUUGAUUUUUCUAUAACUGUUAAGGUUUCAGAAUUUUUGUUUUUUAUUCUUUCUUAUAGUUGUGAUCUGUGUAAGUUCUUUCAGAUUCUAGGAAAUUCUUUACCAUAAGUCAUUCCUGUAUGUAAUAAUUAAAGAUUCAGAUACACAUUCACUACUGUUGUUAUACAUUAAACAGUGAUUUUUUUGUGAUCA